Long non-coding RNA from Gasterosteus aculeatus aculeatus (three-spined stickleback), 578 nucleotides. The record is from Ensembl. Lineage: Eukaryota; Metazoa; Chordata; Actinopteri; Perciformes; Gasterosteidae.
GUGCUGUACUACCCCAUGCUGCAGGACCGAGACCUGAGCAGCAAGUUACUGUGUACUCACAGCUAUACAAAAGAUUGAAAAAUUUGAGAUCACCCCAAAAGACCAAUCCAAAGAGGCGCCGACUCGAGGAGCCAAAGUGCCAACCUGACUGACCCAGAUGAAUUUGAUUCAAGUGACUCAACAGUCAUUCUGGAUCUCCCCUCAAAAGGGGGGCAGCAUUCAAGCAUUCAAGACUUCCCUUCUGAAGGGAGUAGCACCCCAGACUCGGGCAGCAAUGCCAGAUAUGCCCGCAUCUUUGCGUAAGAAGAAAACUCCAAACCGUGAGUCCGUCUCUCAGCUCCUGGAUUUGGAAUUUUCAGCCAGAAGAGCAUUCAUUGACUCUGAUUCUUUUUGCGAGGAGGACAGACACAAGAAAAUUCCAGAGGACAUUGGACAUGUGAUGGGGGAGCUUCAACGCAUUCUGGACAAAAAUAACAUCCAUUACAUUGAUGAGCUGAAGGGAAGAUGGGACGACUUCUGCCAGAAGGUGCAGUUUUUUGGUGUGUGGAAAAAGCUGCUGAAACCCUCAGUAGGAAUGG